RNAcentral lists this transfer RNA (73 nucleotides) under Acidobacteriota bacterium. RNAcentral's name for it is "Acidobacteria bacterium tRNA-Ala". It matches the Rfam family "tRNA". From Rfam's summary of the family: Transfer RNA (tRNA) molecules are approximately 80 nucleotides in length. Their secondary structure includes four short double-helical elements and three loops (D, anti-codon, and T loops). Further hydrogen bonds mediate the characteristic L-shaped molecular structure. tRNAs have two regions of fundamental functional importance: the anti-codon, which is responsible for specific mRNA codon recognition, and the 3' end, to which the tRNAs corresponding amino acid is attached (by aminoacyl-tRNA synthetases). tRNAs cope with the degeneracy of the genetic code in two manners: having more than one tRNA (with a specific anti-codon) for a particular amino acid; and 'wobble' base-pairing, i.e. permitting non-standard base-pairing at the 3rd anti-codon position. Lineage: Bacteria; Pseudomonadati; Acidobacteriota. The record is from RNAcentral. RNAcentral also lists the same sequence under 2 other names.
GGGGCUAUAGCUCAGUUGGCAGAGCGCUUCCAUGGCAUGGAAGAGGUCAGGGGUUCAAUUCCCCUUAGCUCCA